GGGGGGGGGGGGGGGGGGGGGGGGGGGGGGGGGGGCGGGGGGGGGGGCGGGGGGGGGGGGGGGGGCUGGCGGGGGGCGGGUGGGUGACACGGGGGCAACCUGCCCUCGGCUCGGGGAUAGCUCCGGGAAACCGGGGCUAAUACCGGGUACGACCUCCACGGGCAUCUGCGGAGGUGGAAAGUUUUUCGGCUGAGGAUGGGCCCGCGGCCUGUCAGCUAGUUGGUGGGGUAGUGGCCCACCAAGGCGACGACGGGUAGCCGGCCUGAGAGGGCGACCGGCCACACUGGGACUGAGACACGGCCCAGACUCCUACGGGAGGCAGCAGUGGGGAAUAUUGCGCAAUGGGCGAAAGCCUGACGCAGCGACGCCGCGUGAGGGACGAAGGCCUUCGGGUUGUAAACCUCUUUCAGCAGGGACGAAGCGAAAGUGACGGUACCUGCAGAAGAAGCACCGGCCAACUACGUG
RNAcentral lists this ribosomal RNA (465 nucleotides) under uncultured bacterium. RNAcentral's name for it is "partial 16S ribosomal RNA". The stretch from base 56 to 465 matches the Rfam family "Bacterial small subunit ribosomal RNA", at positions 39 to 507 of the family's 1533-position model. The record is from RNAcentral.